UGGGGAAUAUUGCACAAUGGGCGCAAGCCCGAUGCAGCCAUGCCGCGUGUGUGAAGAAGGCCUUCGGGUUGUAAAGCACUUUCAGCGAGGAGGAAGGUGGUGAGCUUAAUACGCUCAUCAAUUGACGUUACUCGCAGAAGAAGCACCGGCUAACUCCGUGCCAGCAGCCGCGGUAAUACGGAGGGUGCAAGCGUUAAUCGGAAUUACUGGGCGUAAAGCGCACGCAGGCGGUUUGUUAAGUCAGAUGUGAAAUCCCCGGGCUCAACCUGGGAACUGCAUUUGAAACUGGCAAGCUAGAGUCUCGUAGAGGGGGGUAGAAUUCCAGGUGUAGCGGUGAAAUGCGUAGAGAUCUGGAGGAAUACCGGUGGCGAAGGCGGCCCCCUGGACGAAGACUGACGCUCAGGUGCGAAAGCGUGGGGAGCAAAACAGGAUUAGAUACCCUGGUAGUCCACGCUGUAAAACGAUGUCGAUUUGGAGGUUGUGCCCCUUGAGGCGUGGCUUCCGGAGCUAACG
RNAcentral lists this ribosomal RNA (513 nucleotides) under uncultured bacterium. Its description in RNAcentral is "partial 16S ribosomal RNA". It matches the Rfam family "Bacterial small subunit ribosomal RNA", at positions 355 to 857 of the family's 1533-position model. The record is from RNAcentral.